RNAcentral lists this unclassified non-coding RNA (299 nucleotides) under uncultured fungus. RNAcentral describes it as "partial contains 5.8S ribosomal RNA, internal transcribed spacer 2, and large subunit ribosomal RNA". The record is from RNAcentral. Lineage: Eukaryota; Fungi.
AACGCAUAUUGCACUCUCUGGUAUUCCGGGGAGUAUGCCUGUUUCAGUAUCAUUAUUCGUAUCCAUUCUCCGAUGGGUGUUGGACUUUUGCCUUUUUCAGAGGAAGGCUGGUCCUAAAAAAGUAAUCGGCAAUCGAGGAGAGAAUUGUCAAAGCGUGAUAGUUGAUCUUUUUUGAAGGUUGUCUUUCGCUUUAUUUCUCUUUUCUUUGCAAAAGUCAAUAUCUAUCUAUAUCUAAAGUAUGGGUAGAUAUAUAUUUUCAUCUUGGUCUGAAAUCAGGUAGGGUUACCCGCUGAACUUAA